UACGUAGGUGGCAAGCGUUAUCCGGAUUUAUUGGGUGUAAAGGGCGUGUAGGCGGGAGCGCAAGUCAGAUGUGAAAACUCAGGGCUCAACCCUGAGCCUGCAUUUGAAACUGUGUUUCUUGAGUGCUGGAGAGGCAAUCGGAAUUCCGUGUGUAGCGGUGAAAUGCGUAGAUAUACGGAGGAACACCAGUGGCGAAGGCGGAUUGCUGGACAGUAACUGACGUUGAGGCACGAAAGCGUGGGGAGCAAACAGG
This 253-nucleotide ribosomal RNA is filed under the name uncultured bacterium. Its description in RNAcentral is "partial 16S ribosomal RNA". It matches the Rfam family "Bacterial small subunit ribosomal RNA", at positions 524 to 776 of the family's 1533-position model. The record is from RNAcentral.